GGCGUGGUAGCAAAGUGGUUACUGCGAUUGACUAGAACUCGUUCAGAUCAUUCUGACAGCACCUUGACUAUCAAUUCCCUUCGGGGGCGCAGGUUCGAAUCCUGCCCACGUCG
Molecule: transfer RNA, 113 nt
Filed under: Hortaea werneckii
Lineage: Eukaryota; Fungi; Ascomycota; Dothideomycetes; Mycosphaerellales; Teratosphaeriaceae
Also listed under: 1 other name
Description: tRNA-Ser
Rfam family: tRNA
About the family: Transfer RNA (tRNA) molecules are approximately 80 nucleotides in length.
Source: RNAcentral